CAUCCGAUGUGAAUUGCAGGACACACUGAGCACAUGAUUCUUCGAACGCACAUUGCGCCCUUGGGUCUUCCCUUGGGUUCGUCUGUCUGAGGGUCGGA
This 98-nucleotide ribosomal RNA is filed under the name Amblyomma cajennense (Cayenne tick). Its description in RNAcentral is "partial 5.8S ribosomal RNA". It matches the Rfam family "5.8S ribosomal RNA", at positions 58 to 154 of the family's 154-position model. From Rfam's summary of the family: 5.8S ribosomal RNA (5.8S rRNA) is a component of the large subunit of the eukaryotic ribosome. Lineage: Eukaryota; Metazoa; Arthropoda; Arachnida; Ixodida; Ixodidae. The record is from RNAcentral.